RNAcentral lists this long non-coding RNA (1173 nucleotides) under Marmota monax (woodchuck). The record is from RNAcentral. Lineage: Eukaryota; Metazoa; Chordata; Mammalia; Rodentia; Sciuridae.
GGGAGAGGACUCAGCUGAGGGGAGCUGGGCGGUCAGCGCCGUGGCCUGCUUGCCUUGGACCCUCCUCUCCAUCUGCUUUCUGCACUGAUACUGUGUCAGAGGCUGGGGUCUGGAACAUCUGCUGCUGCGGCUUCCUGCUUUUGUAGAGGAGGAGACAGAGGCCCACAGAGACACAGCCAGGAUCUCACAGAGACUCAGAGACCCUGAGAAUGAUGCCUCCAGGCCCAGUCUCCUCACCUUGCCGGACUGGAGGCCAAAGCCCCGCCCACUCUUGUUCUGAUGCUUGGAUCCCUUGCCCUCUCCCUUGCCCCAGGAUAGAGUCAGGCCUGGAGCCCUCCCGGAUGUGACCAGAAGACGGGCAGUUCCUGGGAGGACUGCAUGCGUGGCCUGGUGGGGGAGCGGUUCCCCAAACACAGAGCGGGCUGUUUGCAGAAGGGAGCUCCUACCCGGCACUGUCCUCAAGGGGCAUUUAAAUUGAGUGGACAGACUUGCUGCUCACUAAGGGGUGUCCUCAGACAAAGGCGACAUCCGACUAUGGAUAUGGGAACUGUGGUGAGCCUAGGCAGGUGCCAGCCCUGUGUCGGUCCCCAUGGGCACUGUCCCAGGGAAGGGAAGGCUCAGCUCCCUCAGCCACUGAUAAUGAACCCCAGAAACUCACAUCACCCUCACCCAACCUGGCUUCCUGUUUGUAAGCCUUUUGCUGUCCCUGAUCUUGUGAGUCCCUCACCCUGGGCUCAAGGGGAUGUCGGCCUUCUUUGCAUUUUAUAGAUGGGGAAGCUGAGCCUCGAAGACGUCACACGAAUUGCCCAUGUGUGGCAGUCCCUAGGCACUGUUCCUAAACCCACCAAUGGCUUCUUCCGCCAGGAGCUGCAGCUCAGCCGAGAGCUUCCCCUGGCAGGAGGAACGCGCUUAGCCCGAGGUGACACCUCUAGAAACACCCCAAUUAUUGAAGCUCAGGAGCUGGGGAUGAAUCAAUACGGCAGCUUCUCAGCCUUCCAGCGGGUGGGCAGCUCUGAGGCAGGUUCAGCACCAUCCCAGGCAGUCAGUCCCCUGGGGAUGGCAUUCCAGUUGCCCGCGGUCGCAGCCCACUCCACGCACGGGGCAUUUCAGCUGCCUUCCGCCCUGCUUCUGCUCCUGGCUCCUGUGCAGCCUUCCAGGUCUCUGCCCAAGUCC